This 451-nucleotide ribosomal RNA is filed under the name Bradyrhizobium elkanii. Its description in RNAcentral is "bacterial LSU rRNA". It matches the Rfam family "Bacterial large subunit ribosomal RNA", at positions 1 to 416 of the family's 2925-position model. The record is from RNAcentral. Lineage: Bacteria; Pseudomonadati; Pseudomonadota; Alphaproteobacteria; Hyphomicrobiales; Nitrobacteraceae.
AAUCAAGUGCCUUAAGGGUGUUCGGUGGAUGCCUUGGCGCUGAGAGGCGAUGAAGGACGUGCUACGCUGCGAUAAGCCGUGGGGAGCUGCGAGAGCUUUGAUCCGCGGAUUUCCGAAUGGGGAACCCACCUUCGAUAGCCGGAACUCCAAGACCUUGUGUGUUGGGGUUCGACCAGAAAUGCGAGAAAUCAAACCGCGAGGUUUUGGAUUUCCGGUUAUCAAGAGAAGGUAUGAGACCUCCGAAUAAAAUAGGAGGUUUUAAGCAAACCCAGGGAACUGAAACAUCUAAGUACCUGGAGGAAAGGACAUCAAUCGAGACUCCGUUAGUAGUGGCGAGCGAACGCGGACCAGGCCAGUGAUACAUCAAAGACAAUCGGAACCUGUCAGGAAAGCAGGGCCUCAGAGGGUGAUAGCCCCGUACGAGUAAUGCGAUGAUGUAUCCACGAGUAAG